UACGGAGGGUGCAAGCGUUGUCCGGAUUUAUUGGGCGUAAAGAGCUCGUAGGCGGUGUGUCGCGUCGGCCGUGAAAACCUGUGGCUUAACUAUGGGCUUGCGGUCGAUACGGGCAUCACUGGAGUUCGGCAGGGGAGACUGGAAUUCCUGGUGUAGCGGUGAAAUGCGCAGAUAUCAGGAGGAACACCGGUGGCGAAGGCGGGUCUCUGGGCCGAUACUGACGCUGAGGAGCGAAAGCGUGGGGAGCGAACAGG
This 254-nucleotide ribosomal RNA is filed under the name uncultured bacterium. RNAcentral's name for it is "partial 16S ribosomal RNA". It matches the Rfam family "Bacterial small subunit ribosomal RNA", at positions 524 to 776 of the family's 1533-position model. The record is from RNAcentral.